Non-coding RNA from Pelodiscus sinensis (Chinese soft-shelled turtle), 309 nucleotides. The record is from RefSeq and is a predicted model, not a curated record. Lineage: Eukaryota; Metazoa; Chordata; Testudines; Trionychidae.
AGGACAACACCGCGUGAGCCAACAGCAGGACCGUUGAGGCCCACUGAUGGAGGUGAGCCUUCCCACCAGCUGCUCCUUGCUAUGUCCUGAACUUCAGUAACAUUCCUGGCUGCACUUGAAGUUCGAAACGCUAAACACAGACAGCCGAACAUGAACAAAGGGAAUUCACUCUCCAGUCGUUUGUACUGCCUCAUCGGAAUGUGACAGUCAGCUGAUAAACUUGGAGGUACAGCAUAAAAAGAGAGGAUGGAGGAGGAUGCUGGGAGAUGGGAUUUGAAAGCUAUUUCUCCAAUGCUUAAAAAAUUAAAU